GCAGAAGCUUUGCACGCAGGUACAGGC
RNAcentral lists this non-coding RNA (27 nucleotides) under Bombyx mori (domestic silkworm). Lineage: Eukaryota; Metazoa; Arthropoda; Insecta; Lepidoptera; Bombycidae. The record is from RNAcentral.